ACCACCCCCAAACCCCCUCCUCUGAAGAGGAGGGGGCUUUUAGAUCAGCGUCUUAACUCCCCCUCCUCUUCAGAGGAGGGGGUUGGGGGUGGU
This 93-nucleotide microRNA precursor is filed under the name Novosphingobium sp. SG754. RNAcentral's name for it is "microRNA MIR1846". Lineage: Bacteria; Pseudomonadati; Pseudomonadota; Alphaproteobacteria; Sphingomonadales; Sphingomonadaceae. The record is from RNAcentral. RNAcentral also lists the same sequence under 12 other names.